GGUGCUGUGGUGUAGCGGUUAUCACGUCUGCCUAACAAGCAGAAGGCCUCCAGUUCGAUCCUGAACAAUAUCA
Non-coding RNA from Symsagittifera roscoffensis, 73 nucleotides. Lineage: Eukaryota; Metazoa; Xenacoelomorpha; Acoela; Convolutidae. The record is from the annotation of a RefSeq genome assembly.